GACGAACGCUGGCGGCGUGCUUAACACAUGCAAGUCGAACGGAAAGGCCCCUUUGGGGGUACUCGAGUGGCGCACGGGUGAGUAACACGUGAGUAACCUGCCCUUGACUUCGGGAUAACUUCAGGAAACUGGGGCUAAUACCGGAUAGGAAUCCUUGCUGCAUGGUGGGGGUUGGAAAGCUUCGGCGGUUUUGGAUGGACUCGCGGCUUAUCAGCUUGUUGGUGGGGUAGUGGCUUACCAAGGCUUUGACGGGUAGCCGGCCUGAGAGGGCGACCGGCCACAUUGGGACUGAGAUACGGCCCAGACUCCUACGGGAGGCAGCAGUGGGGAAUAUUGAACAAUGGGCGGAAGCCUGAUGCAGCAACGCCGCGUGCGGGAUGACGGCCUUCGGGUUGUAAACCGAUUUCAGCAGGGGCGAAGCUUGUGGUGACGGUACCUGCAGAAGAAGCACCGGCUAACUACGUG
This 465-nucleotide ribosomal RNA is filed under the name uncultured bacterium. Its description in RNAcentral is "partial 16S ribosomal RNA". It matches the Rfam family "Bacterial small subunit ribosomal RNA", at positions 28 to 507 of the family's 1533-position model. The record is from RNAcentral.